Molecule: ribosomal RNA, 439 nt
Filed under: uncultured bacterium
Lineage: Bacteria
Description: partial 16S ribosomal RNA
Rfam family: Bacterial small subunit ribosomal RNA
Source: RNAcentral
CUACGGGGUGCUGCAGUGAGGAAUAUUGCACAAUGGGGGGAACCCUGAUGCAGCAACGCCGCGUGGAGGAUGACGCAUUUCGGUGUGUAAACUCCUUUUAUAUGUCAAGAAAAUGACGGUAGCAUAUGAAUAAGCGCCGGCUAACUCCGUGCCAGCAGCCGCGGUAAUACGGAGGGCGCAAGCGUUACUCGGAAUCACUGGGCGUAAAGGACGCGUAGGCGGGUUGAAAAGUCAGGUGUGAAAGCCUACAGCUUAACUGUAGAACUGCACUUGAAACUCUCAACCUAGAGUAUGGGAGGGGCAGAUGGAAUUAGUGGUGUAGGGGUAAAAUCCGUAGAUAUCACUAGGAAUACCUAAAGCGAAGGCGAUCUGCUGGAACAUUACUGACGCUAAGGCGUGAAAGCGUGGGGAGCAAACAGGAUUAGAUACCCCGGUAGUC